This 460-nucleotide ribosomal RNA is filed under the name uncultured bacterium. RNAcentral describes it as "partial 16S ribosomal RNA". It matches the Rfam family "Bacterial small subunit ribosomal RNA", at positions 338 to 795 of the family's 1533-position model. The record is from RNAcentral.
CCUACGGGAGGCAGCAGUGAGGAAUAUUGGUCAAUGGACGAGAGUCUGAACCAGCCAAGUAGCGUGAAGGAUGACUGCCCUAUGGGUUGUAAACUUCUUUUAUAAAGGAAUAAAACGAGGCACGUGUGCCUUUUUGCAUGUACUUUAUGAAUAAGGAUCGGCUAACUCCGUGCCAGCAGCCGCGGUAAGACGGAGGAUCCGAGCGUUAUCCGGAUUUAUUGGGUUUAAAGGGAGCGUAGAUGGGUUGUUAAGUCAGUUGUGAAAGUUUGCGGCUCAACCGUAAAAUUGCAAUUGAUACUGGCAGUCGUGAGUACAGUUGAGGUAGGCGGAAUUCGUGGUGUAGCGGUGAAAUGCUUAGAUAUCACGAAGAACCCCGAUUGCGAAGGCAGCUUACUAAACUGUGACUGACAUUGAUGCUCGAAAGUGUGGGUAUCAAACAGGAUUAGAUACCCUUGUAGUC